GACGAACGCUGGCGGCGUGCUUAACACAUGCAAGUCGAACGGAAAGGCCCUGCUUUUGUGGGGUGCUCGAGUGGCGAACGGGUGAGUAACACGUGAGUAACCUGCCCUUGACUUUGGGAUAACUUCAGGAAACUGGGGCUAAUACCGGAUAGGAGCUCCUGCUGCAUGGUGGGGGGUGGAAAGUUUCGGCGGUUGGGGAUGGACUCGCGGCUUAUCAGCUUGUUGGUGGGGUAGUGGCUUACCAAGGCUUUGACGGGUAGCCGGCCUGAGAGGGUGACCGGCCACAUUGGGACUGAGAUACGGCCCAGACUCCUACGGGAGGCAGCAGUGGGGAAGAUUGCACAAUGGGCGGAAGCCUGAUGCAGCAACGCCGCGUGCGGGAUGACGGCCUUCGGGUUGGAAACCGCUUUCGCCUGUGACGAAGCGUGAGUGACGGUAAUGGGUAAAGAAGCACCGGCUAACUACGUGC
Molecule: ribosomal RNA, 469 nt
Filed under: uncultured bacterium
Lineage: Bacteria
Description: partial 16S ribosomal RNA
Rfam family: Bacterial small subunit ribosomal RNA
Source: RNAcentral